Leguminivora glycinivorella is the source of this 384-nucleotide long non-coding RNA. RefSeq lists it as uncharacterized. The record is from RefSeq and is a predicted model, not a curated record. The transcript is spliced from 3 exons. Lineage: Eukaryota; Metazoa; Arthropoda; Insecta; Lepidoptera; Tortricidae.
UGGAUCUCCUGGGCUUCCUGGAACAAGGACUAGUGAUUGUUUCGAGGAGCUGUCAUGGUGUUGGCUCUUGAUAUUUUAUCGUGAAACGCAGAUUUAAUGAUGACGGCGCGUCGGAACCCAAACGUCAAGAAUCGCCGACGUUCACGGAAGCAGCUACAAUGAGCGGAGAAUCUGAGAGCCAGGAAUGCGGAGCACCUAGCUACUACUGAAAUGGAGGACCCGGACCUGUUAGCGACAUGGAACUGACCAGGACCGUCGUGGGCUCCUCAUGUGCCACCCCCGGAUACCUUUUCUGAUUGUGGUGUUUACAGUACAGUGUACAUAUUCAUGAAAAAAAAAUUGUAGGUACUUUUUUACAUUUUUAAAAAACGCACUCUGCAUGGU